Castor canadensis (American beaver) is the source of this 335-nucleotide non-coding RNA. The record is from RefSeq and is a predicted model, not a curated record. NCBI's taxonomy places the organism in Eukaryota, Metazoa, Chordata, Mammalia, Rodentia, Castoridae.
UCCUAGCCAGAGCAAUAAGGCAAGAAGAAGAAAUAAAAAUGAUACAUAGGACUACAGAUGCCUGGACCACCUGGAGCUGUUUACCAUAGUGCUUACACAUUAUUUCUUCAUGUGGUUUGUCCUUAACAUAUGGCAGCUCAAUUCCAAUAGUGAGUGUUCAAAGAAAUCUUCAUGGACCCUGUGAGGCUUCUGAUCUAGCUUGUGAAGUUCCAAAACAUCCUAACCUAUUCUAUUGAUUUGGAAGUCGGACAAGCACAAAAGGCCAGUUUUGUGGGAAAUUUACAAACUCUUAAGCUUAAAUUUGGAACCAGGAGUCAUUUGUAUCAAAAUUUGAU